GACGGGGGCCCGCACAAGCAGCGGAGCAUGUGGUUUAAUUCGAAGCAACGCGAAGAACCUUACCAGGUCUUGACAUCCAUCUAAAGCAGAAGAGAUUCUGUGUGAGCUUGCUCGAGAUGAGACAGGUGGUGCAUGGUUGUCGUCAGCUCGUGUCGUGAGAUGCUGGGUUAAGUCCCGCAACGAGCGCAACCCUUAUCGUCCGUUACUAACAGGCAAAGCUGAGGACUCAGACGAGACCGCCGGGGACAACUCGGAGGAAGGUGGGGACGACGUCAAAUCAUCAUGCCCCUUACGACCUGGGCUACACACGUGCUACAAUGGGUACAACAAAGAGAAGCGAAGCCGCAAGGCGGAGCAAAACUCAGAAAAGUACUCUCAGUUCGGAUUGUGGGCUGCAACCCGCCCACAUGAAGUUGGAGUUGCUAGUAAUCGCGGAUCAGCAUGCCGCGGUGAAUACGUUCCCGGGCCUUGUACACACCGCCCGUCACACCAUGGGAGUUGAGAGCGCCCGAAGCCAGUGAGCUAACCGCAAGGAGGCAGCUGUCGAAGGUGAGAUCAAUGACUGGGGUGAAGUCGUAACAAGGUAGCCGUUCGGAA
RNAcentral lists this ribosomal RNA (597 nucleotides) under uncultured bacterium. RNAcentral's name for it is "bacterial SSU rRNA". It matches the Rfam family "Bacterial small subunit ribosomal RNA", at positions 912 to 1509 of the family's 1533-position model. The record is from RNAcentral.